RNAcentral lists this long non-coding RNA (478 nucleotides) under Mytilus galloprovincialis (Mediterranean mussel). The record is from RNAcentral. Lineage: Eukaryota; Metazoa; Mollusca; Bivalvia; Mytilida; Mytilidae.
GCCUGGGGUCCUGGCUAAUCUUGUCAGUAUAGCCAGGCGUGUAUCAAUGAACUGCCUGUCAAUGAUUGGUUAAUACUAAUUUUGUCCUCAAUGUUUGUUUAACAUCUGUAUCCAAUCAAUUCUUGUUUAACAUCAAUUAGUAAAAAUUAGACUGUAAUUAUUUUUCUUUAUGAAUUGAUGUAUAGUGUUAUCAUAUCUAAUUAUUAGUAUGAUGAUAAUUAGUAAGCAGAAAAGGGUUCAUUCUUAUCAGCAAUCGCCUGGUGAGAAAGUUAAAAGUUUAAGAUUUCACAUGUCCAAGGUGUCAAUUGGAUUCCAAUUGUGCUGGUUUACAUCAAACAUCAAAAUUUAUGCAAAUAUUUAUUCAGCCUCACUUUAGAUUCAGAGUCAACUGGCACUGAAUCGAUCACAUGGUAUUUGUUCCCCACCUGGCCCUUACGACGCGCAGCUAGAUUGGGCCGGAUCCCAGGCUACCUAUUGA